This 971-nucleotide long non-coding RNA is filed under the name Ananas comosus (pineapple). RNAcentral describes it as "long non-coding RNA (ACOM_LNC035865)". The record is from RNAcentral. Lineage: Eukaryota; Viridiplantae; Streptophyta; Magnoliopsida; Poales; Bromeliaceae.
AAUUUAAAUUUUAAAUUUAAUAAUUUAUAAAUUUACAUAUUUAUAAAUUUAAAAUUUAAAAUUUAAGUUUAAAUUUAAAUUUUGAAAAUUGAAAAUUAAAAAUUAAAAAUAAAAUUUAAAUUUAAAAUUUGAAAUUUGAAAUUUGAACUUUUUGCAAUUUAAAAUUUGAAAUUUAAAAUUUGAAAGUUGAAAUUUGAAAGUUGAAAUCUGAAAGUUGAAAUUUGAAAUUUGAAACUUAAAAUUUGAAAUUUUUGAAAUUUGAAAGUUGAAAUUUGAAAUUUGAAAUUCAAAAUUUGAUAUUUGAACUUUUUGAAAUUCGAAAUUUGAAAUUCGAAAUUUGAAAUUUGAAAUUCAAAAUUUGAAAUUUGAAAUUUGAACUUUUUGAAAUUUGAAAUUUGAAAUUUGAAAUUUGAAAGUUGAAAUUUAAAAGUUGAAAUUUGGAAUUUGGAAUUUGGAAUUUGAAAUUUAAAAUUUGAAAUUUGAACUUUUUGAAAUUUGAAAUUUGAAAUUUAAAAUCAAAAUUAAAAUUGAAUUUUAAAAUUUUAAAAUUUGAAAUUUAAAAUUUUAUAUUGAAAUUUAAAAUUUAGAAAUUGAUACAUUUUUAGGAGCCCAAAAUGGUGGAAUUUUUUCACUUUGGUUAAAGUGGAUUGUAAAUUUACUCCAUUUUUUCGAGUAUAGUAUAACUAUACUCCAAAAAUUACGUCAUUUUUUUUUUUCUUCCAAAUGCUUCAUAGGAUUAUUUUCCUACCGGCGUAGCAUAAUUUAACUAUACUACGUUUCUAGAGGUAUCCAAACGGGGCCUAAGUCUAGUACUCAAAAUAUGUUAUAAUUUUACAGUAUCUUUAAUCGAAAAUUCAUGUUCUCUUUGGUAGAACCGAAUCCAUUAACAAUAAUAAGUCGUUUUGUUCAAACCACCAGUUUAAACCUACUUAUUAUUAUUAGAGUUCAUAGUUUUGUACAUAUUCAAUUAU